UGUUAACAUAAGAGGUGUUCUAAGGAGGAAUGUAGGGCCAGAGAGAUGGCAUCUGCUGUUGACCUGUUGCUCCGAUGCUGAUUGCCCUGUUAAGUAGUUCCAACAUUCCUGCUUUUCAACAUGACAAUAGCACCUAUCCCUACCCUCGGA
This is a long non-coding RNA of Mobula hypostoma (lesser devil ray), 150 nucleotides long. RefSeq lists it as uncharacterized. The transcript has 3 exons. Lineage: Eukaryota; Metazoa; Chordata; Chondrichthyes; Myliobatiformes; Myliobatidae. The record is from RefSeq and is a predicted model, not a curated record.